UUGAUGUCCUUUGGUUGAGUCUAUUAAGUAAAUUUGAAUACAAAAUGAACUCUAAGUGAAAGUGGUCAGAAAAAUUCGUUUCGUGUUGAAAAUGAAACAAAUAUUGUGUCAAUGUUAUGUUAACUUGACCUUUUGUGGUCAAAGAGAGCCAUUCGUGCAAAAAAACGAUUAGCAAGUGGUCAAUAGAUGACAGUGAAUCUUGUUUCAUCACAACAUCUCCUGAUAUUAGAUGAGUUGAUUUGGUCACAUUGGUCACAGAAAUCAGUUCAGCCAUUAAAUUACAUUUAAUGUAAAUUAUCCUGAAGUUUCUCUCAUGGAAUUGUGACAAACGAAUCCUUUUAUUGAUAAAUGAUCUUCUGACUCGCAAUUAAUUGUCAUUAAUUGUCGAUUUUCAAAGGCAUAUUACUCGAAGUAAUUUACUUCUAUUGAAGUUUGUCAAAGAAAAACAAGUUUCCAAAUUAACCAGUUUUACUCUAAGCGCCAAUUUUAAAUUUAAGCGGCAAUUUCUGUAUUUCCUGGUUAAUUUACAAAUUGAUUGCUCCAAGUCAACCUGAGUAAAUGUUAAUAAACGGUUUUUACAUAAAUUUAUCAUCUAACAACACUUUUCAUGCAACAAUCUCAUCUAUUAACGUAUGAAUUUCAUUUCAGACAAAAGAUUGCACCAAAAUCUGUAAAAUUACGUAUUAAACCAGUCCAUUGGUAAAAGACAACACAGAGAUCAAUAACUUUCUUAUUAUUAUACAAUAUGAAGAACCGGUUUUAUCAAAUUAUUGCACCAGAUUCAGCAAAAAUGAAUGGUUGAAUAACCUGAGUCUGAUAUGAUUUACUAUACUGACCGAAGCCUUUUUCAGCCCUUUAUUUUUUAUCGGAAAUCUGACAGUUCUGAUCCUAGACUCGUCUCAGUGUAUGAGAUGGUUCGAGGACAAACUUGUUUAUCUCUACAUUUUUAAUUUUCAUGAUACAUCUGAAUCAUUCAUAGCAUAUGACGUUUAACUGCUUGAAAAAAUAAACUUAAUACUGUUAAACCAACUUGAAGUAGUAAUUAACUAGGCACUCAUUAAUUCAAAAAGCAAGAAUAGUCUUCUGGUACCUUAUUAUCAUCUCUGUCACAUUUUAAUUCGUGAAUCUUAUUAUGUCUGAAAGACGACAUCUACAUCUAGAAACACAGAAAGGGAUCGAUGAAGUUGAUAGCAUGCCAUGAUUGAAAAGAUGUUGAGAAUAGAGAAUGAGGAGUUCUCGAUCUUAAUUUAAUUGAUCGUUAAGAGCCGUUAGAUUUGGGAAUAAUCAAGAAACGAUGUUCAAUUCGUUUCUUUCAAUUGGAGAUUGAAGAACAAGAUUCAAAUAAAGUAAAGUUGGUUCGAACAUCAAAAGAUGUAAGAAACAAUAAAUAAAGUUUCUUCGAUAAACAUAAAUAAAUGAUAAAAGUUGAGACAAAAUUAUUAAUUCAAAGAUUUAUUGUAGUACACAAUUUUACAGAAUUUAGUUUUUUACGGUUGUGUUUGUAAAUAGCGCUUUGACUUAGAUCACAACUUUGUUUCGCCCAAUAACCAAGUUCUUUGAGGAACCAAAACUUUUUCAAAUUUUGUCAGUUUUACUUUUGUUUUCCGUUCAAACAACUUGUUCUUCCACCUGUUUCCUAUUCCAAGAUUCAUAUACAUAUUGAUAUUAUUUGCGUUAAAAUGGAGCGACACAAUGAUAAUUCUGAUAAAAUUACAUUCAAAGUAGAGUUUCUAGGUGAAUAUCAUGAUGUAGUAAUUGAUUGGAAUGAUGAUAAAUAUCAACACAAAGGGACAAUUAUUCGACCAGCUUGAAUCGAUAGUUGGAGUACCGCGUGAAUUCAACUACGAAAUUCUUCUGCAGUAUCACCAGGUGGAAGAUAAUAGGCCAUUUUAUCAUAACAUUGACAGGCGCAGCCUUAGUGCCUCCUUGGACUCGAGUUUAUCGUGUACAACGUGAUAUACUAAUGCCUUUAGUUUCAUCCGGAGUUGAACAUGGAAAUAUAAGAGAAUUAGCAUUAGCCAGAAUGGCUGACUAGGGAACCACAUGUAGAGAUAUAAGAACCAGGAAAGUUGGUAUCCAAGAAAUCUAACACAAAUGGAGGCUGGGAAACCUUCCUUUCUUAUGAAGACGUUCAACAAGAUAUUUUAAUUGGUCUUUUAAGAUUAAGAAAUUGUUCACCUGAUACUUUCCGCCCAGAAUUGAAGGGCUUUUGUUCAAUUGUAAGAGAAUUGCAUGUUUAUGGUAGUGUUGUACCUAUAAGUGGAAAGGAUCCAACCAAUUUCAACAUCAAGGAUUCGGAAUGCUCUUGAUGGAAGAAGCUCAAAGAAUUACACUCAAUGAAUAUGGAUCUACUGAGAUCGCAGUUAUUUCAGGCAUUAAUUUUACUUUGACUUUAUUGCAGAUUCAUUUUUAAUACUCAAAACUUGAUAUUAAUUCAACAUAAUUUCUUUUUCUCAGGUGUUGGAACCAGAAAUUAUUAUAAAAAACUUGGUUACUCGUUGGAAGGUGUAUAUAUGUGCAAAUCUUUAAUUUAAUCAAAAAUUGUUAUUGAAUUGAGAUUCACAAAAUGUUUUGUGUAUUUUUCAUUAAAAAAUUAUAAUGUUUAAAAAAU
Molecule: non-coding RNA, 2611 nt
Organism: Tetranychus urticae (two-spotted spider mite)
Lineage: Eukaryota; Metazoa; Arthropoda; Arachnida; Trombidiformes; Tetranychidae
Source: RefSeq, a predicted model, not a curated record